CCUGAACGCUGGCGGCGUGGCUAAGACAUGCAAGUCGAACGGGUGUAGCAAUACACCAGUGGCGGACGGGUGAGUAAUGUAUCGCUAAUGUGCCCCGGAAUCUGGGAUAGCCAGUCGAAAGGCUGGGUAAUACCAGAUGAUAUAUCCUGAUGGCAUCAUCGGGAUCUCAAAGGAGUAAUCCGGUCUGGGAGCAGGCGAUAUCGUAUCAGCUAGUUGGUAGGGUAACGGCCUACCAAGGCGACGACGCGUAGCUGGUCUGAGAGGACGACCAGCCACAUUGGGACUGAGACACUGCCCAGACACCUACGGGUGGCUG
Molecule: ribosomal RNA, 316 nt
Filed under: uncultured Planctomycetota bacterium
Lineage: Bacteria; Pseudomonadati; Planctomycetota
Description: bacterial SSU rRNA
Rfam family: Bacterial small subunit ribosomal RNA
Source: RNAcentral